Long non-coding RNA from Trichomycterus rosablanca, 377 nucleotides. RefSeq lists it as uncharacterized. The transcript has 3 exons. Lineage: Eukaryota; Metazoa; Chordata; Actinopteri; Siluriformes; Trichomycteridae. The record is from RefSeq and is a predicted model, not a curated record.
GCCCAGACUCCGUUCGGUGGUUAUAAGAUGUAGGGGAAUGGACGAGAGCUGGGCGAGUACGCGCUGGCGGAAUACUGUGAGGUCAAAGCCGUCACCAUCAAGCUUAACGAGCAGGGCCAAAAGUAUUGGGACGCCUGAUCAUGAGCUCGUCUGAGAGCCGGAGCGGCUUCGAGGCGAAUCUCCGAAUGUACUAAAGCGACUCGACCAAAACCCACAACAUAUAUAGAGAGACCAGAAGCAGUUCACAGACGCCCGUCAUCCAAUCGGACGGAUUUUGAGAGGAUCUGGCUUGACGAACGGGGUAAACAGCCUAAAUCCAGAUGUGUGAAGCUUGUAGAGACGCAUCCAAGUGACCUGCAGCUGUAAUCGCUGUCAAA